This 879-nucleotide ribosomal RNA is filed under the name uncultured bacterium. RNAcentral's name for it is "bacterial SSU rRNA". It matches the Rfam family "Bacterial small subunit ribosomal RNA", at positions 22 to 896 of the family's 1533-position model. The record is from RNAcentral.
GCUCAGAAUCAACGCGGGCGGCGUGCCUAACACAUGCAAGUCGAACGCGAAAGUGGGGGCAACCCCAUGAGUAGAGUGGCAGACGGGUGAGUAACACGUGGGUGACCUACCCUUGAGUGAGGAAUAACCCCGCGAAAGCGGGGCUAAUACCGCAUAACAUCCCUGGGACAUACGUUCUGAGGAUCAAAGCCCGAAAGGGCGCUUAAGGAGGGGCCCGCGCCUGAUUAGCUAGUUGGUAGGGUAACGGCCUACCAAGGCUACGAUCAGUAGCCGGCCUGAGAGGGUGAACGGCCACACUGGAACUGAGACACGGUCCAGACUCCUACGGGAGGCAGCAGUGGGGAAUUUUGCGCAAUGGACGAAAGUCUGACGCAGCAACGCCGCGUGGGUGAUGAAGUCCCUUGGGACGUAAAACCCUGUCGGCUGGGACGAAAUGGCUCGCAAGAGCAAUUGACUGUACCAGCAGAGGAAGCCCCGGCUAACUCCGUGCCAGCAGCCGCGGUAAUACGGGGGGGGCAAGCGUUGUUCGGAAUUACUGGGCGUAAAGGGCGUGUAGGCGGCCUAGCAAGUCAGUUGUGAAAGCCCCAGGCUCAACUUGGGAAUUGCAACUGAAACUGCCGGGCUAGAGUUCAGGAGAGGAGGGCGGAACUCCCAGUGUAGCGGUGAAAUGCGUAGAUAUUGGGAGGAACACCGGUGGCGAAGGCGGCUCUCUGGACUGAAACUGACGCUGAGGCGCGAAAGCCAGGGGAGCGAACGGGAUUAGAUACCCCGGUAGUCCUGGCCGUAAACGAUGGACACUGGGUGUUGGAGGUAUUGAGUCCUCCAGUGCCGAAGUUAACACAUUAAGUGUCCCGCCUGGGGAGUACGGGUCGCAGACUG